GACGUAGGGCGCAAGCGUUGUCCGGAUUUAUUGGGCGUAAAGAGCUCGUAGGCGGCUUGUCGCGUCGACUGUGAAAACCCGCAGCUCAACUGUGGGCUUGCAGCCGAUACGGGCGGGCUAGAGUUCGGUAGGGGAGAGUGGAAUUCCUGGUGUAGCGGUGAAAUGCGCAGAUAUCAGGAAGAACACCCGUGGCGAAGGCGGCUCUCUGGUACGUGACUGACGCUGAGACGCGAAAGCGUGGGGAGCGAACAGG
This 253-nucleotide ribosomal RNA is filed under the name uncultured bacterium. Its description in RNAcentral is "partial 16S ribosomal RNA". It matches the Rfam family "Bacterial small subunit ribosomal RNA", at positions 524 to 776 of the family's 1533-position model. The record is from RNAcentral.